This 348-nucleotide unclassified non-coding RNA is filed under the name soil metagenome. RNAcentral describes it as "partial contains 5.8S ribosomal RNA, internal transcribed spacer 2, and large subunit ribosomal RNA". The stretch from base 1 to 120 matches the Rfam family "5.8S ribosomal RNA", at positions 35 to 154 of the family's 154-position model. The record is from RNAcentral.
GAUGAAGAACGUAGCGAAAUGCGAUAAGUAAUGUGAAUUGCAGAAUUCAGUGAAUCAUCGAUUCUUUGAACGCACAUUGCGCCCGCCAGUAUUCUGGCGGGCAUGCCUGUCUGAGCGUCAUUUCAACCCUCAUGCCCCUAGGGCGUGGUGUUGGGGAUCGGCCAAAGCCCGCGAGGGACGGCCGGCCCCUAAAUCUAGUGGCGAACCCGUCGUGGCCUCCUCUGCGAAGUAGUGAUAUUCCGCAUCGGAGAGCGACGAGCCCCUGCCGUUAAACCCCCAACUUUCCAAGGUUGACCUCAGAUCAGGUAGGAAUACCCGCUGAACUUAAGCAUAUCAAUAAGCGGAGGA